CUCUCCCUGAGACACACACACACACACACACACACACACACACACACAAAUGUCACUAGAGAGUGAUGACAAGUAUGAGGUCCUCUUUCGCCUGGGAUUCAACCGGAAAUGUCUUGCACAGAAAGAUUGUUUGAAUUGGUUAAAGAUAAUUGGUUCCCGUGUUGCUCAUGACAUCACUGUGAAUCUUCCUGGCCCACAUUGAGAGUCUGGCAGGGAACGCUGUGCCACCCCUCGGGACGACAGGAGCUCGGUUUUGUGAAAUGCGUGGGAUGAGGACGACCUGUUUGCCACCAACUGCCACUCUGGAGGAAUUUUUUAUUCUUCUAGUAAAGAAUUCUUAAUGGAACUGGAGAUUCAUCCAUGAAACCUCCUUGAUAGAACGUCUCUCUCCUUCAUGGCAAUUUCAAUCUAACAGUAAAAUUAAGAAUUUCUAUGUGUGGAAUCUCUGCAGGGCAUUAAACAGAACAUGAAGACUGACCAAAAUGCUUUUCUCAGGUUAUUUCCAAACCUGUCUUUGGGGAGAAAAAGUAUAACCCAACCAAACAGAAACUAUACAUCAAAAUUGAAGAAAAAUCA
Non-coding RNA from Ictidomys tridecemlineatus (thirteen-lined ground squirrel), 576 nucleotides. Lineage: Eukaryota; Metazoa; Chordata; Mammalia; Rodentia; Sciuridae. The record is from RefSeq and is a predicted model, not a curated record.